AUUGAACGCUGGCGGCAGGCCUAACACAUGCAAGUCGAACGAGUGGCGGACGGGUGAGUAAUGUCUGGGAAACUGCCUGAUGGAGGGGGAUAACUACUGGAAACGGUAGCUAAUACCGCAUACCAUCAGAUGUGCCCAGAUGGGAGUAGCUUGUUGGUGGGGUAACGGCUCAACAAGGCGACGAGCCCUAGCCGGUCUGAGCGGAUGACCAGCCACAGUGGAACGGGGAAACGGUCCAGACUCCAACGGUAGGCAGCAGUGGGGAAUAUUGCACAAUGGGCGAAAGCCUGAUGCAGCCAUGCGGCGUGUAGGAAGAAGGCCUUCGGGUUGUAAAGUACUUUCAGCGGGGAGUCGUUACCCGCAGAAGAAGCACCGGCUAACUCCGUGCCAGCCGCCGCGGUAAUAC
RNAcentral lists this ribosomal RNA (406 nucleotides) under uncultured bacterium. RNAcentral describes it as "partial 16S ribosomal RNA". It matches the Rfam family "Bacterial small subunit ribosomal RNA", at positions 29 to 526 of the family's 1533-position model. The record is from RNAcentral.